CCUACGGGAGGCAGCAGUGGGGAAUAUUGCACAAUGGGGGAAACCCUGAUGCAGCGACGCCGCGUGAGUGAAGAAGCGUUUCGGCGUGUAAAGCUCUGUCAGCGGGGAAGAAACACGGUUCGCGAGAGCCGCGGACGGUACCCGUCCACGAAGCCACGGCUAACUACGUGCCAGCAGCCGCGGUAAUACGUAGGGGGCAAGCGUUAUCCGGAUUCACUGGGUGUAAAGGGAGCGUAGGCGGCGAGACAAGUCUGGAGUGAAAGGGCGGGGCCCAACCCCGGGACUGCUCUGGAAACUGGCUGGCUGGAGUACAGGAGAGGUAAGUGGAAUUCCUAGUGUAGCGGUGAAAUGCGUAGAUAUUAGGAGGAACACCAGUGGCGAAGGCGGCUUACUGGACUGUAACUGACGUUGAGGCGCGAAAGCGUGGGGAGCAAACAGGAUUAGAUACCCGUGUAGUC
RNAcentral lists this ribosomal RNA (458 nucleotides) under uncultured bacterium. RNAcentral describes it as "partial 16S ribosomal RNA". It matches the Rfam family "Bacterial small subunit ribosomal RNA", at positions 338 to 795 of the family's 1533-position model. The record is from RNAcentral.